GUCCGCGAACGUCGCCGUCCGGGACGGAGCGCCUCGCUCGCAACCCACCCCUCCUCUCUCGGCGACUCGGUUCUCCCUCCCGCGGGACGCCACCGGAGCUGACUGCCGCUGCUGGGGCCUGGCCGUUCUCUCAUGGUCAUGGAGACGCCUUCGCAGGUGAUUGCCCCCUCCUCGUCGUCACACUCCCUAGCUGCUAAGGGGUCACGUGGUGGUGUGCUGCCCGAUUGGAAUUGGGUGAAUCGGAUGCCCAAGGGGCUCACCUGGGGGAUUCGUUCUGAACUUAACACAGGUUGAUUUGCUGGAUUGAAGGUCCCGGAUUAUUCUCCCUGGUUUCUCAUGUGUUUGCAUCAGUGCAGAUGCAAGUUAGUCCUUGUUAACAGAGGAUUAUACAUUUAUACUCACCUCUCUCUCUCUCUCAAAAAAAAAAAAACUUAUAUGGUGUGUGCAUUCCCUUGGAGAUUGUAGUUGGAGGACAUGCAGCUUAGACGAAAAAAAAUGUACUCAUAACCCUCUGCUACUUAUCUAGCUGCCUGUAUGGUGGUUUUGUUUCUUUGGGUUAGGUUGAGAAGACAAAGGCCCUGUUUGUUUCGGCUUCUGGCAGCUUCUGGCCACCAAAAGCUGUUGCAGACUGCCAAACACUCAGCUUUUCAGCCAGCUUCUAUAAAAUUCGUUGGGGGCAAAAAACCAUCCAAAAUCAACAUAAACACAUAAUCGUUUGAGUCGUUGUAAUAGUAGGAAUCCAUCACUUUCUAGAUCCUGAGCCCUAUGAACAAUUUUAUCUUCCUCCACACGUAAUCGUAAUGAUACUUAGAUUCUCCCCACAGCCAGAUUCUCUCCACAGCCAGAUUUUCAGAAAAGCUGGUCAGAAAAAAGCUGAACCAAACACACCCAAAGGCAGACUAUUGCUUAAUGGUCCAAUGGAGGAAAGGGAUAAGAAUAGGAUCGACUAUCUAAACACAACAAUUUACAAGGAUGAUACAACAUACAACCUGCGCUAAAAUGAUAAGGCUCAAGAGAGGGUCCUUUCUUUCAGUUGCGUCAAGUUUUACAUGAAUGCUCCUUGUUCCAUGACGCUAUCCAUGUAAUACUGAGGAAUAAGUAGCUAUGUUCUUGAAUGCAAUCGGACACAACCUAAGAAAUAAGCUAAGCUGGGACUAAUUUCAGUAGGUCAGGUGAAACAGUUAGCAGAUAUUUGAACCUCGUAAUACAUGCAAUCGGGGAACUAGGCAAUUAGCUUAUUCGACCAGCGUUUUUGUAUACCCUGGCCAAAAUUGCAGGGAACUCAAGAUGGGAUCCAUGUUUUAAGGUAUGGCAUUCCAAAUUGUCCUGACACAUAUGCGGUCAAAAUUUUGAGUUUUUUUUUUGUAAUAUGUUGACCGUAUAGGAUCGUCGUAUUGGAGCAAUUGAUGGGUCAGAUAUAAGAGCAUCUAUGGAGACUGCCUUUCGUCGUAGGAAGUUAUUUGCAUCCCAAAAUGUGUUGGCAGCUACAAAUUUUUAUUUUCAUUCUACCAGAGGACAAUUGGACACCAAAGGCCAAAGCCACGGAGGACAGCACGAUAACAAGCAAAUAACCAUACGCUAAUGAUAGAGAAGAGAAAUGAUUUCUGAGAGAAUGUGGGCAGAUUGUUAAAACCACCGCGACAACUAAAAUAUGUAGUGCUUUAUGUAAUAGUGAACUAGCAAUGGCAUGGACUUUGCCCUGCUUGUUUUCUUUAUGUGAUAUACUAGUGAUGUUGUGGACAAAUCUUCAGUAUUCUCAUUGAAGUAAUUGACCCUGUUUAGGGGAGCUUUUGGCAGCUUUUGCUUCUCCAGAAAGCUCGAAGCUCUCUCAAACUGGAUAGCUUCUCCAAGCUGACAAAAGCUGCACUUUGUAGUAAAAGCAGAGAAGCUCCCUCAAAGCAGCUUCCCGAGCUUUAUCCAGAAAGCUUCUCUUGGAGGCGCUUUUGGAAAAGCUACAGCUCCCCCAGACAAGGAAAUUUAUCUUGGUGUUCAUUGUCAUUUUUUAUAACUUACACAGGAGAUGGACCCAGAGCAACAUGGGGACAACAUGGCAGGCAAGGGUGGAGCUGGACAGGUCUAUUGGUCCAACGCAAUGUCUAGUUUCGUGCUCAAAUAUUUGUCCGACCUAGUUGCGAGUGGAACUAAAACCACGAGCGGCUUCAAGCAAGCUCAUCUUAACAGCUGUGGUAGAGCUUUGUAUGAGAAGCUAGGUGUCCAGUGUUGGGGACUUGUUCUCAAAUGCUAAGAAUUAAGAACAAGGCAACAUAAAAAGUGUUAAGUGUUAAAGUCCUUCGUCCUUCGAAGCAUUAUGUCCCUUCGGGAAAUAAUGAGUUUCGGACGAAGGUCAUAAGAGACAUACCUUCGUAAACAUAACAAGUAAUGACGAAGGAUUCAUAUAAAGCAUGAAAUAUAAUAUAAGCAUCAUCAUAGAAUCAUUUCUAUUUUAUUAACAUGGAAAAAUAGAAAUGAUUUCAAAUUACAAAUGUACCUUCGGUCCUGAGAGAAGAUAAAAAGUACAAGCGUGACGCAAAAGCAAAUGCCAAGUCAGCGUGAACAGUACGGGAGUACUGUUCAUCUAUUUAUAGACGCGUGACGCAGCCCACGUAAAAUUACAUUUAUGUCCAUUACAUUUGUCAAUGACUUAUGGAAACCUGACAAGGUCCACGUAGUCUUUUCAUCUUUAAGUCGGUUCCCCUCUCUGCUAUCGCGACGAAGCUUCCCUGCGCACAGCUUCGGCUGUGCACCAUCCUUCGUGGAGCUUGGUAAUCAGCCCGUCCUUCGUCUGGUUCAGGCUUCGUCCUGACCGCACUUCAUGUUCGUAAUUCUGAGUCCGAAGGUACCUGUUCACAUAAUCCACUUGGAAAACAUUGUCAAAUCAUGUUUUUGAGGACCUUCGGAGGACGAAGGCCCCCAACAGUAGCCCCUCGCAAUAUUAAUUUGUUUGAAAUAAUAAAUUCAGAUUGCGAUAUGAACGAAGGCUUUAUGCCGAAGGUCCGAAAAAACACCUUCCCUUUGCUAGAAUAGCAACAUUCAAUGACAAGUGGGGUCUUUCAACUUUCAACGCAUCAAGCGUAUAAAUACGGCCAUACCGCAAACUUAUUUUGCACGCUUUCUGGCCAACCACUCUUGCUCACUCAUUUUUUAGCUCUUGUGCACUGUGAUCUGCUAAGCUUUUAGCUUUGAAGCUUCGGCUUUGAAAACAGUUUUUUAGUGUUUCCGAAGAUGUCUGAAGCUGCUAAGAAGGCUGCUGCUGAAAUGAAGCUGAGUCUUGAUGAAGAGAAGAACUUAGGGUUUCUUAUAGCAAUGUCGAAGACCAACACAGAAAAGAUCACCAGGGAAAUUCUGGAAGGGCUGUCUGAAGAUACUGGUGACAGUGAAAGUUAUGAUGUGGACAGCGGUGGCGAAGACUCCGAAGAUCGCCCCUGGCGACCAAGCCAUUCAGUUUAUGGUAAAUCAACUAUCAAAGAGAAUCAUCUUGUUAAUAUGAGAGGAAGGUAUUUCCGGGAUCUGUCCAUUGUGAGGGCGGGCGAAGGGGAAAAGACUUGUCCACACCCUGAAGAAAAUGAAGUUGUGGUAUACCGAAGCUUUUUGAAAGCCGGAUUGCGAUUCCCCUUGAGCAGCUUCGUCGUGGAGGUGUUGAAAAUCUUCGAAGUCUAUCUUCAUCAACUUACUCCAGAGGCUAUUAUAAGGCUAAAUAUCUUCGUGUGGGCCACGAGAAGCCAAGGUCUGAAGCCUGACGCAAGAAGCUUCUGUAAUGUUCAUGAAUUAUUAUAUGAAACAAAACCUUGGGGCAAAGAACAGUACCAUAACAACUUUGGCUGCUACAGCUUCGUCUCUCGGUCCGGGGCAAGCUGUCCCGUACCAACCUUUCGGAAGAGAUGGCCCGGGGAUUGGAUGACAGAAUGGUUUUAUGUGAAGAAUGACUUAUCAGCACGAGAAGACAUCAAAGGUAUAAUUAUGCGUCCUAUUUGGCAAAGCUUCGGCCUUCGGAGGCCGAAGGUUGAAAUGAACGAAGCCGCCGAAGAGUGCCAAAGAGCCUUCGGCGUUGUCUGCUCUUUUAUAGGAACAAGGGACUUAGUACAAGAGCAUAUUGCCUUCAGGGUGUGGCCGCUUGCGGAGAAAUGGGAAAUGCCACAAGAAAUCGUUAAAAAGGCCGACGAAGGUGGACUCGUCAGGUUUAAGUACACUUUUAAAUUUGAAGAUAAAUUUAUUGAGCCAGACGAUGAGUGGUUGAAAAGCAUUGACAAUUUAAGUGAUGAGCUGCUUGGGACAUACUCGAAGGCCGAAGAUACUGCAAUGUCAGCAGCCUUCGGAGGCCGAAAAAAGAAAAGGCUGAAUCGGGUAUUUGAUGCCAUCGGGUUCGUCUACCCUGACUAUUGCUACCCCAUUCGAAGGCAGAAGAGAAAAAAUACAACCUCUGCAAAAGAAGAAACUGCAGCUGCUCCUAGCGAGCCAGAACCGAAAAGGAAGAAGAUAAAGGUUCUUACUUAUCGACCGCGUUAUAUUGAACCAGCUUCGGUGCCUGAGUUUACCGGAGAGACUUCUUCGGCCACCGAAGCUGAAAAACCAGCCGAGCCAACUUUGCUGCCAGAAGUCACAGAAACAGCCGAAAUACCAACGAAGACAAAAUUGGAGCAAUCAAAAAUUUUGUUAUCAGAAACGAAAGAGAAGGCCGAAGCGCCAUUCACAGAAAAAAUGGAAGAGGUAAAGGAAGCAACCGAGGACUCCAAAACAUCAGAAGUUUUGAGUCCUGUGGCAAACAUUGAAACAGUAAGUAAUCAAAAAGUGCCAGCAGUGACUCCGAAAAGGAGAAUGGCUAAUGUGCUAGAUGUGCUGGAAACGAUCAAAUCUUCAAGCACCCCUCCGAAGAAGGCUGCCGUCACUCCUGAAACAACAGUCGAAGCUUCGGGUUCUAAAGCUCCAGAGCAAGAUACUGAAGCCGAAGCUGGGCCCUCAGAGCCCUCAAAGGCAAAGACCUUGGAAAGUGAGGCAGAAAAAAUAACAAAGCCAACUUUUGCUGAAGGAACUGGUGUUGUUACCCCCGAAGCAUCCAAAAUUCGUGAUUAUAUUUUUCGUCAUGCUUCGGGGAAAAAAUUAACAGAAAAAGAAGAACAAGAGGCCCAACACUAUGCCCAAAAGUUGAAAUAUCCAAAGGGAGCGUUGAUAUUUAAUGGCAGUGGAGAAGAAGAUUUCUUGUAUUGCCUCCCCGACAGCAAGGAAAUUUCUGUCUGUCGGGAGAUGAGCAGAAGCUUCGGAUUUCCAACUUUAGAAGACGGACUUUCGGUGCUGUCAAAGAACGAUCUGGCUGACAGCCUAGCUUACAACAGUUUAAAGGUGCGACAAAUGGAAUUCUUAUAUUUUUGUUGAAUUCAAAAUUUUUCGUUUGUUUAAAACUAUUAACACAGACAUAUUCCUGUCUGCAGGGCCUGAUACUCAGCAAUGCCCUCAGAGCACAGAAAGAUGCUGAGGACGAAGGAUGUACUAUAGCCCUGAGCAACCUUCGUUCCGAAGUAAUUGAACUGAGGAACGAAGGUCUCGAAAAAGACAAAAUAUUGCAUUCCUUAAUAAAUAAAAUAAAAGAAGACGAAGCUAUUUUCAAAGGUCAGGCCGAAGCUCAGAAGUGUGAAAUUGAAAACCUUCGUAAACAAUUAGCCAGAGCUAAAGAGGAAUGCAUACUUGAAGAAACAAGGCGAGAACUCAGCGACCAAUGGGCAAAUCAUUUAGAAGAAACUGUUAAAGAGCUUCGGUCAGCCAAGAAGAAAUGCUUCGACAAAUCUAUAGAGUGUGUCAAGAAAAUAAAAACUAGCUUCGCCAGCGUUGGCGCAUUUUCGCAAGAAGAAAACUUUAUAAGAGGUAACCCCGAAGGUCCCCUGGAAUGGAUCAAUCAUGAGUCGGAGGCCUUCGAGGAAAUCCUGAGUAGCCGCGGUGACAUCUGCGCUUUUUCUGGUGCCAGAGGGAUUGCCACUAUUUUGGAGGGGAAAGGAUGUGAACAUGUAAAGAUUUUAUCGCAGUCCGAAGCCACCUUGUCCACUGAAGAUAUAAAAGAUCCUUCAGCCGAAGCUAGCGCGGUUGGGGGAAAAUUUUUCACCGACAUCUGGGACAACGGUGGUAGAGAAAUGGCCCAAGAAAUCAUUCAGAAAAGCGAGAAAGGGAUUCAUGAGGCUAGAAAAGUAGCCGAGGCUGCUGAGAAAAACGCAGAGCCCGAAGGGCAAAUAGGUACUAGCGAAUAGUUUUCAUUGCAUUAUAACUUUUAAUCUUAUAGUUCGUUCGCGAUCUGUAAUAAUGAUGUAAUAGUAUCCCGUCCUCACUCAGAUCCUACUAAAGCAUCUUCGGGCCCUCAGCCUAAAGAUGACGACGAAAUUAAAAAGAUGGCCGAAGCUAUCAUGGAUCAGGUUGUCGAUCGACUGCUGAACGAAGCUGCAGAGAUAGUACUUAGGGAAGACUAAGUGCUAUUGCAAAAAACAUUUGAUAUAUGAUUUGUGUAAUAUUCUGUAAUCCUGUAUGUAAUAUACUUGUUUUAUGAUUCAAUUCUUUACGAUGCAUGAAACUUUAAACACGUACCAUUUUUGAGUCUUCGACGAAAAAACACCUUCCCUUCUUUUCAUGCUUCGUGAAGAAGAAUUUAUCAUUUAUCACGACAAUAUCCAUAAUGUUCUGAUAAGAAAUAUCCAAGCUUCGUAAAAAUAAUCUCCGAAGCUAUACCUCGAAAAUCAAUAUUGUUUCUCCCUGUAACUUGGCAUGAUUUGCCCUUUUUCAAAGCAUUUUCCGAAGAUCGAUAACAUGCCCCCUUCUUGUGCCACAUGCAGCAUGAUGUAUGAUGAUUAUGCUAUGCAAAAUGAUGUGAUGAUGUUAUGUUAUGCAAAAUGAUAUUUUGUGCCGAAGAUACGCACAUUCCUGCAAUGGGGCACAAUCUUUUGUAUCAAUACUGACUUUUUCAUUAUAAGCCUCCCUUAGGAGCUUCUUCGCCUUUUACUUCAGCGGAAUCAGCGUUUAUUUUUCGCUGUAAGUUCUGCAUCCCCUUAGGAACGUCUUUGGAACUUCUUCGCCUUUUACUUAGGCGGUAUAAGCUCUGCAUUCCCUUAGGAACGUCUUUGGAGCUUCUUCGCCUUUUACUUAGGCGGUAUCAGCGUUGACUUUUCGCUGUAUGCUCUGCAUUCCUUUUGGAACGACUUUGGAGCAGAAAACUUACACUGCGCUCCCUUCGGAACGACUUUUUGUGACUUCGUCAGACUUACUCUGCGUUCCUUAGAACGACUUUUUGUUGCUUCGAAGGAUUUUCGAUAGUCCGAAGGUCCUUUUUAUUAUCACAAACCUGUGAAGAAAACAUAUUUUUCUUGUAGGAAUCAACGAAACUAAUUACAUGAAACCUAAACAAUGUCCUUUAUUACAAAAAAUAAAACUGAAUGAAAAAGAUUGCUAUUAAGGUAGGAUAUUUGUCAAUAGAUGUGUUUUGACUCUGGCACGGUGCUGUUGACCGUGCGAGCUUCGGACUGUUCUCUGAAGUCCCUUUGAUGUGGAGCAUAUUGGCUCCCUUCUGGUUGCUGGCCUUGUUGCAACGGAGGUGGAGGCGGGGGCUGUUGCCAGGAAGCUGAAGGCUGACUUGCCGAAGCAGCAGAGAGUGCAGGAUGGUUGCCCACAUAUUCUGGGAUGUAGGGCGAAUGAUACGAAGCAGUGUGCAUGACCUGCUUCGGCUGAGCCUGUUGCGCGGCAGCUUCGGCUAUCUCUUUUUGCUUCUGAAUGGUAACAUGACACAUCCUGGUAGUAUGACCUUUGUUUUCACCACAGAAUAAGCAAAAUAUUCUUCUGGGUUGAUCCCCGAAUCUUCCGCCGAAGCCCCUGGCGCCUCUGCCUCUUGGAGCUGGUGGUCGGAAGGAGCUUUGCUGUUGCCCCGAAGCCUGUGAAGAGCACUGCGGUCUGUUCUGCUGACUCCCCUUAUCAUCAUUCUGAGUGGAGUUGUGGAUGGACCUGACAUGCCUCGGAUAGGAUCUUCCUCCGAAGCCCCUGGUCAUUUCGGAAAAUCUGAAGGCCUCCUCCCUUCUUUGGCGAAAGUCAUUGUCAGCACGAAUGUACUCGUCCAUCUUUUGGAGCAGCUUCUCCAGGGUCUGAGGAGGCUUCCUAGCAAAGUAUUGAGCAGCAGGUCCAGGACGAAGCCCCUUGAUCAUGGCUUCGGUGACAAUUUCAUUGGGCACCGUUGGUGCCUGCGCCCUCAAACGCAAGAACCUUCUGACAUACGCCUGAAGGUAUUCUUCAUGAUCCUGAGUGCACUGGAACAAGGCUUGAGCAGUGACCGGCUUCGUCUGAAAUCCUUGAAAGCUGGUCAAUAACAUAUCCUUCAGCUUCUGCCAUGAAGUGAUCGUUCCUGGCCGAAGGGAGGAAUACCAGGUCUGAGCAACACUCCUGACGGCCAUAACGAAAGACUUUGCCAUUACUGCAGCAUUGCCACCAUACGAAGACACUGUUGCUUCGUAACUCAUCAAGAACUGCUUCGGGUCCGAAUGGCCAUCGAACAUGGGAAGCUGGGGUGGCUUAUAGGACGAAGGCCAAGGUGUAGCCUACAGCUCAGCGGACAGAGGAGAAGCAUCGUCGAAAACAAAAUUUCCAUGAUGAAAAUUAUCAUACCAGUCAUCUUCAUUGAAGAAGCCCUCCUGAUGAAGGUCUUUUUGUUGAGGCCUUCGGUUCUGCUCAUCGUGGGUAAGAUGACGGACUUCUUCAGAAGCUUCGUCUAUCUGCCUCUGCAGCUCAGCUAGCCUGGCCAUCUUCUCCUUCUUCCUCUGCACCUGUUGAUGUAGCAUCUCCAUGUCCCUGAUCUCUUGGUCUAGUUCAUCCUCCUGAAUCGUCGGGCUGACAGCCUUCCUCUUCUGGUUUCGGGCCUCCCGGAGAGAGACGGUCUCCUGGUUGGGGUCCAGCGGUUGCAGUGCUGCAGCCCCAGUCGCUGAAGCUUUCUUCGGUGCCAUAGCGAGGGUCUAUAGCUUCCGAAGGUGUUCAAAAAACUCGAAGUGGAAGUGAGUUCACCGGAGGUGGGCGCCAAUGUUGGGGACUUGUUCUCAAAUGCUAAGAAUUAAGAACAAGGCAACAUAAAAAGUGUUAAGUGUUAAAGUCCUUCGUCCUUCGAAGCAUUAUGUCCCUUCGGGAAAUAAUGAGUUUCGGACGAAGGUCAUAAGAGACAUACCUUCGUAAACAUAACAAGUAAUGACGAAGGAUUCAUAUAAAGCAUGAAAUAUAAUAUAAGCAUCAUCAUAGAAUCAUUUCUAUUUUAUUAACAUGGAAAAAUAGAAAUGAUUUCAAAUUACAAAUGUACCUUCGGUCCUGAGAGAAGAUAAAAAGUACAAGCGUGACGCAAAAGCAAAUGCCAAGUCAGCGUGAACAGUACGGGAGUACUGUUCAUCUAUUUAUAGACGCGGGACGCAGCCCACGUAAAAUUACAUUUAUGUCCAUUACAUUUGUCAAUGACUUAUGGAAACCUGACAAGGUCCACGUAGUCUUUUCAUCUUUAAGUCGGUUCCCCUCUCUGCUAUCGCGACGAAGCUUCCCUGCGCACAGCUUCGGCUGUGCACCAUCCUUCGUGGAGCUUGGUAAUCAGCCCGUCCUUCGUCUGGUUCAGGCUUCGUCCUGACCGCACUUCAUGUUCGUAAUUCUGAGUCCGAAGGUACCUGUUCACAUAAUCCACUUGGAAAACAUUGUCAAAUCAUGUUUUUGAGGACCUUCGGAGGACGAAGGCCCCCAACAUCCAGCGCACCGGCGGACAAGUCGGCAACCAUCUCAGGAAGUGGAAAAGGAUUUAUGCGAAGAUCGAGAAGCUGAAGAACCUGGAUGGAGCUGUCUGGGAUGAACAUAAUUGCGUAAUCAGUCUUGACGCAGAGCAUUACAAUAACCAUAUUAAGGCAAGUGACCAGCAUCUUCUUACAGUUUGAUCGCUGCGGUUUUAGGUG
Molecule: long non-coding RNA, 9929 nt
Filed under: Zea mays
Lineage: Eukaryota; Viridiplantae; Streptophyta; Magnoliopsida; Poales; Poaceae
Description: long non-coding RNA (ZMAY_LNC004991)
Source: RNAcentral